This 252-nucleotide ribosomal RNA is filed under the name uncultured bacterium. Its description in RNAcentral is "partial 16S ribosomal RNA". It matches the Rfam family "Bacterial small subunit ribosomal RNA", at positions 524 to 776 of the family's 1533-position model. The record is from RNAcentral.
UACGGAGGAUCCGAGCGUUAUCCGGAUUUAUUGGGUUUAAAGGGUGCUUAGGCGGCAUAUUAAGUUAGUGGUCAAAUGGUCCGGCUCAACCGGAUUUCGCCAUUAAAACUGAUGUGCUAGAGAUUAAACGAGGUAGGCGGAAUAAGUUAAGUAGCGGUGAAAUGCAUAGAUAUAACUUAGAACUCCGAUAGCGAAGGCAGCUUACCAGGCUACAUCUGACGCUGAAUCACGAGAGCGUGGGUAUCGAACAGG